RNAcentral lists this ribosomal RNA (253 nucleotides) under uncultured bacterium. RNAcentral describes it as "partial 16S ribosomal RNA". It matches the Rfam family "Bacterial small subunit ribosomal RNA", at positions 524 to 776 of the family's 1533-position model. The record is from RNAcentral.
UACGUAGGUGGCAAGCGUUGUCCGGAUUUAUUGGGUUUAAAGGGUGCGUAGGCGGUCAAAUAAGUCAGUUGUGAAAUACGGCAGCUCAACUGUCGAGGUGCAAUUGAUACUGUUUGACUUGAGUACUGUUGAGGUAGGCGGAAUGGACGGUGUAGCGGUGAAAUGCUUAGAGAUCGUCCAGAACACCGAUAGCGAGGGCAGCUUACUAAAGAGUAACUGACGCUGAGGCACGAAAGUGUGGGGAUCAAACAGG